AACGAACGCUGGCGGCGUGCUUAACACAUGCAAGUCGAACGAGGUCCACCCAGUAGCAAUACUGGUGAAGACCUAGUGGCGAACGGGUGAGUAACACGUGAGCAACCUGCCCCGAAGACCGGGAUAACAGUGGGAAACCGCUGCUAAUACCGGAUACCCCCACCGAGUCGCAUGGCUUGGUGAGGAAAGGAUUCUGCUUCGGGAGGGACUCGCGGCCUAUCAGCUUGUUGGUGGGGUAACGGCCCACCAAGGCGACGACGGGUAGCUGGUCUGAGAG
Molecule: ribosomal RNA, 277 nt
Filed under: uncultured bacterium
Lineage: Bacteria
Description: partial 16S ribosomal RNA
Rfam family: Bacterial small subunit ribosomal RNA
Source: RNAcentral